RNAcentral lists this ribosomal RNA (473 nucleotides) under uncultured bacterium. RNAcentral describes it as "bacterial SSU rRNA". It matches the Rfam family "Bacterial small subunit ribosomal RNA", at positions 335 to 799 of the family's 1533-position model. The record is from RNAcentral.
ACUCCUACGGGAGGCAGCAGUAGGGAAUCUUCCACAAUGGGCGCAAGCCUGAUGGAGCAACACCGCGUGAGUGAAGAAGGGUUUCGGCUCGUAAAGCUCUGUUGUUAAAGAAGAACACGUAUGAGAGUAACUGUUCAUACGUUGACGGUAUUUAACCAGAAAGUCACGGCUAACUACGUGCCAGCAGCCGCGGUAAUACGUAGGUGGCAAGCGUUAUCCGGAUUUAUUGGGCGUAAAGAGAGUGCAGGCGGUUUUCUAAGUCUGAUGUGAAAGCCUUCGGCUUAACCGGAGAAGUGCAUCGGAAACUGGAUAACUUGAGUGCAGAAGAGGGUAGUGGAACUCCAUGUGUAGCGGUGGAAUGCGUAGAUAUAUGGAAGAACACCAGUGGCGAAGGCGGCUACCUGGUCUGCAACUGACGCUGAGACUCGAAAGCGUGGGGAGCAAACAGGAUUAGAUACCCUGGUAGGAUAGCG